AGCGAACGCUGGCGGCAGGCCUAACACAUGCAAGUCGAACGAACCUUUCGGGGUUUGUGGCGGACGGGUGUGUAACACGUGGGAACGUUCCCUUAGGUUCGGAAUAACUCAGGGAAACUUGUGCUUAUACCGAAUGUGCCCUUCUGGGGAAAGAUUAAUCGCCUUUAGAGCGGCCCGCGUCUGAUUAGCUAGUUGGUUGAGGUAAUGGCUCACCAAGGCGACGAUCAGUAGCUGGUCUGAGAGGAUGAUCAGCCACAUUGGGACUGAGACACGGCCCAAACUCCUACGGGAGGCAGCAGUGGGGAAUCUUGCGCAAUGGGCGAAAGCCUGACGCAGCCAUGCCGCGUGAAUGAUGAAGGUCUUAGGAUUGUAAAAUUCUUUCACCGGGGACGAUAAUGACGGUACCCGGAGAAGAAGCCCCGGCUAACUUCGUG
RNAcentral lists this ribosomal RNA (434 nucleotides) under uncultured bacterium. RNAcentral's name for it is "partial 16S ribosomal RNA". It matches the Rfam family "Bacterial small subunit ribosomal RNA", at positions 29 to 507 of the family's 1533-position model. The record is from RNAcentral.